Molecule: ribosomal RNA, 460 nt
Filed under: uncultured bacterium
Lineage: Bacteria
Description: partial 16S ribosomal RNA
Rfam family: Bacterial small subunit ribosomal RNA
Source: RNAcentral
CCUACGGGUGGCAGCAGUGAGGAAUAUUGGUCAAUGGACGCGAGCCUGAACCAGCCAUGCCGCGUGAAGGAUGACGGCCCUAUGAGUUGUAAACUUCUUUUAUACAAGGGUAAACGCAGAUACGCGUACCUGUCUGAAAGUAUCGUACGAAUAAGGAUCGGCUAACUCCGUGCCAGCAGCCGCGGUAAUACGGAGGAUUCGAGCGUUAUCCGGAUUUAUUGGGUUUAAAGGGUGCGUAGACGGUCGGUUAAGUUAGUGGUGAAAGUACGCGGCUCAACCUUGGAAUUGCCAUUGAUACUGUCAGCCUUGAGUGCAGUUGCGGUAGGCGGAAUGUGUGGUGUAGCGGUGAAAUGCUUAGAGAUCACGAAGAACUCCGAUUGCGAAGGCAGCUUACUAAGCUGCUACUGACGUUGAUGCACGAAAGUGUGGGGAGCAAACAGGAUUAGAUACCCGAGUAGUC